Molecule: ribosomal RNA, 373 nt
Filed under: uncultured bacterium
Lineage: Bacteria
Description: partial 16S ribosomal RNA
Rfam family: Bacterial small subunit ribosomal RNA
Source: RNAcentral
CCUACGGGAGGCUGCAGUGGGGAAUAUUGCACAAUGGAGGAAACCCUGAUCCAGCAAAGCCGCGUGAGUGAAGAAGUAUUUCGGUAUGUAAAGCUCUAUCUGUAGGGAAGAAAAAAGACGGUAGCUUGCUAAUAAGCACCUGCUAACUACGUACCAGCAGCCGCGGUAAUACGUAGGAGGCAAGCGUUAUCCGGAUUUCCUGGGUGUAAAGGGAGCGUAGACGGGUGUGGAAGUCUGAAGUGAAAGCGCGUGGCUCAACCGCGGAAGUGCUUUGGAACCUGUAUAGUUUGAGUACUGGUGAGUCAGGCGGAAUUCGUAGUGUAGCGGUGAAAUGCGUAGAUAUUAGGAGGAACACCAGUGGCGAAGGCGGCUU